RNAcentral lists this ribosomal RNA (304 nucleotides) under uncultured Pseudomonas sp. RNAcentral's name for it is "bacterial SSU rRNA". It matches the Rfam family "Bacterial small subunit ribosomal RNA", at positions 30 to 334 of the family's 1533-position model. The record is from RNAcentral. Lineage: Bacteria; Pseudomonadati; Pseudomonadota; Gammaproteobacteria; Pseudomonadales; Pseudomonadaceae.
AUUGAACGCUGGCGGCAGGCCUAACACAUGCAAGUCGAGCGGAUGAAGAGAGCUUGCUCUCUGAUUCAGCGGCGGACGGGUGAGUAAUGCCUAGGAAUCUGCCUGGUAGUGGGGGACAACGUUUCGAAAGGAACGCUAAUACCGCAUACGUCCUACGGGAGAAAGCAGGGGACCUUCGGGCCUUGCGCUAUCAGAUGAGCCUAGGUCGGAUUAGCUAGUUGGUGAGGUAAUGGCUCACCAAGGCGACGAUCCGUAACUGGUCUGAGAGGAUGAUCAGUCACACUGGAACUGAGACACGGUCCAG